Molecule: long non-coding RNA, 951 nt
Organism: Hypomesus transpacificus
Lineage: Eukaryota; Metazoa; Chordata; Actinopteri; Osmeriformes; Osmeridae
Exons: 3
Source: RefSeq, a predicted model, not a curated record
ACGAGAUCAAGACUGCACUGAUGAAGGAAAUAGAGGAGCUGCAGAGCGAGUACAAGAACGCAGGGGUUUCUAACUCGUUGGUCCUAACACUGGCCCCAACACUGACCCCGGAACCACCUGAAGAGGUGGUUCUUCGCAUGACCAUAACUGGGUUAGAAAACAAGAUCGAGAUGAAGACUUAACUUCUACAGUCCUUGGACCUCCAGCAGGAUUAGGGUUGUCGACCUAUUAUCGGAGACUGCACUGAUGAAGGAGAUAGAGGAGCUGCAGAGAGAGUUUAACAAGAAAGCAGGGGUUUCUUGGCCCCAGCCAUGCUUUCAACCCAGAAUGCCAAGGUCCUACCUGUGAUGAAGACAAAUAUGGAACUGACCACAAAGCCCUCUGUCUGCCCCUACCAAGAACAUUUGGUUUCAGGCUUUAGAUCAAAGUCACGUCCCAAGGCACAGUUUGGACAGCAUGGUUCUAGGAAAACCAUGCCAACCCAGUUUAGCCUAGGUUCCAAAACUUCUGACUGCAGUCAGCGAAACAUUCACCGUUCCAUCACAGGCCAAACAAAAACAAGGAGAGAUCUACCCAGACAGGAUUAUCCUAAUGACCACGGUGACUACAGUCACAUUCAUUUCCACAUGGCUAGAGUUACCUCUCCGCAUGUAACUCAAACUGUUGAGGCUUGCUAAGAAGCAGUCAAUGAGAAAGUACUAUCCAUACCCCAAGUUCUUGGACUUGCAUAGACCGAUAUGGAAACUGCACCUGCAGAUCUAUGAUUAAGUUGGUCCAUUCCCUAAGUGUUUGGCCUGGCAUCGACCGAUAUGGAAACUGCGCAUACUGCAAAUAGUCUCACCGCAUAUUCAUUUAAAAACAUUUUCAUUAAUCUCAUUAACAUGAGUUUUUAUUCUGUGAUCGUGAAUAGGCUACAUACAAGUUCAAAAUAAAAAUCUUUUUUUUGUGUGA